GACGAACGCUGGCGGCGUGCCUAAUACAUGCAAGUUGAGCGCUGAAGGUUGGUACUUGUACCAACUGGAUGAGCAGCGAACGGGUGAGUAACGCGUGGGGAAUCUGCCUUUGAGCGGGGGACAACAUUUGGAGACGAAUGCUAAUACCGCAUAAAAACUUUAAACACAAGUUUUAAGUUUGAAAGAUGCAAUUGCAUCACUCAAAGAUGAUCCCGCGUUGUAUUAGCUAGUUGGUGAGGUAAAGGCUCACCAAGGCGAUGAUACAUAGCCGACCUGAGAGGGUGAUCGGCCACAUUGGGACUGAGACACGGCCCAAACUCCUACGGGAGGCAGCAGUAGGGAAUCUUCGGCAAUGGGCGAAAGUCUGACCGAGCAACGCCGCGUGAGUGAAGAAGGUUUUCGGAUCGUAAAACUCUGUUGGUAGAGAAGAACGUUGGUGAGAGUGGAAAGCUCAUCAAGUGACGGUAACUACCCAGAAAGGGACGGCUAACUACGUG
This 497-nucleotide ribosomal RNA is filed under the name uncultured bacterium. RNAcentral describes it as "partial 16S ribosomal RNA". It matches the Rfam family "Bacterial small subunit ribosomal RNA", at positions 28 to 507 of the family's 1533-position model. The record is from RNAcentral.